RNAcentral lists this ribosomal RNA (301 nucleotides) under uncultured bacterium. Its description in RNAcentral is "partial 16S ribosomal RNA". It matches the Rfam family "Bacterial small subunit ribosomal RNA", at positions 509 to 807 of the family's 1533-position model. The record is from RNAcentral.
CAGCCGCCACGGUAAUACGUAGGGUGCGAGCGUUAAUCGGAAUUACUGGGCGUAAAGCGUGCGCAGGCGGUUUUGUAAGACAGGCGUGAAAUCCCCGGGCUCAACCUGGGAAUGGCGCUUGUGACUGCAAAGCUAGAGUGCGGCAGAGGGGGGUGGAAUUCCGCGUGUAGCAGUGAAAUGCGUAGAUAUGCGGAGGAACACCGAUGGCGAAGGCAAUCCCCUGGGCCUGCACUGACGCUCAUGCACGAAAGCGUGGGGAGCAAACAGGAUUAGAUACCCCUGUAGUCCCUGUCUCUUAUAC